AUUAAACUAAUUAAAUAAAGGAAAUAAAAGAUAGAAAAGAGAAAUGGAAACAGAAUAGGCAAACGAAAACAGGGGAGAAAGGAAAGAAAAGAAAAAGGGAAGGAAAGGAAAGGAAGAAAAUUUGGGAUUUCAAGAUUUCAAGCUCAAUUGCUAAUGUCGUGCAAGAGUCAUUGUCCAAGAAAGGGAAGGAGAAGAUGGAUAAGGAUUGACUCGAGAGAAAUUUCGGUUAGUAGAAAGCCAGUGCUCGAUCUAGCAUCCAGAGUAAUCCCGACUUUAGAGAAACUUUAGUGAUGUACCUUUCCUUUGAUAACAUGGCAUGUACCUAAGUAAUGUUUAUACCUAAGUGAUGUAUAGGGAUUAGUCAAUUUGAAUGUUUGUAUCUAUGUAUUGCUAAAGGAAGAUGUGUGAGUAUGUGAUAAUGUUUGGCUUUUAAAAUGGUUAAGUAUGAAUAUGUUUGGUAA
Long non-coding RNA from Gossypium raimondii (Peruvian cotton), 461 nucleotides. RefSeq lists it as uncharacterized. The record is from RefSeq and is a predicted model, not a curated record. The transcript is spliced from 3 exons. Lineage: Eukaryota; Viridiplantae; Streptophyta; Magnoliopsida; Malvales; Malvaceae.